Molecule: long non-coding RNA, 737 nt
Filed under: Homo sapiens (human)
Lineage: Eukaryota; Metazoa; Chordata; Mammalia; Primates; Hominidae
Description: non-protein coding lnc-CKAP2L-2:1
Source: RNAcentral
CUUUAGCAAUGACAGCUUCUCCGUACACUUUAGGACCAUGGCUUUCCACCUACAAGUCCCCACAAGCACUUUUUAAAAAAUGAAAUUAAAGAAAAUAUCAGAGUGCAUCCAACAGAGAACAAGUCGGUCAGGAAGCCGCGCAGCAGCCUUGGCUUUUAAGGAUACCGGAAAACACCCGUGGAGCCGGAGGUGGCCAUUCACCAAAUUCGAAUCACCCUAACAAGCCGCAAUGUAAAAUCCCUGGAAAAGGUGUGUGAUGACUUAAUCAGAGGCGCAAAGGAAAAGAAUCUCAAAGUGAAAGGACCAGUUCGAAUGCCUGCCAAGACUUUGAGAAUCACUACAAGAAAAACUACUUGUGGUGAAGAUUCUAAGACCUGGGAUCAUUUCCAGAUGAGAAUUCACAAGCGACUCAUUGACUUGCACAGUCCUUCUGAGAUUGUUAAGCAGAUUACUUCCAUCAGUAUUGAGCCAGGAGUUGAGGUGGAAGUUACCAUUGCAGAUGCUUAAGUCAACUAUUUUAAUAAAUUGAUUACCAGUUGUUAAAAAAAAAACAAUUCUGUGCCUGAUGACAUUGCAGAAAUUAGUUCCAUAAAGAUUUGAAAGAUGCAGGGCUACUGAUUUCCAUAACACCAUUAUUACCUCACCUAUUUGGUCAGUGCAAGAGGCAAAUGUUGGUGGAGAAUGAAGGUGGAUUAACACAAACAUAUUCAUGGGUUUGCUUAUCCCGCCCACAGCAC